RNAcentral lists this long non-coding RNA (208 nucleotides) under Gorilla gorilla gorilla (western lowland gorilla). Its description in RNAcentral is "lncRNA (ENSGGOG00000044497.1)". The record is from RNAcentral. Lineage: Eukaryota; Metazoa; Chordata; Mammalia; Primates; Hominidae.
GUGCAUUUUAAUGGUUACCAGGUUGCCACGUAUUUGAAGUGGUGUGAGAGCUACUCGUUUGGAACGGUUGUGGAUUUUCAAACAGGAAAAUCAAAAGGCCCAAAGAGACAGCUCACUGUUUUGGGUCUAGUUCAUCUGAUAAGGGAUCAAAAAAUACAACUUGUAUGUGAACUUGUGCAAAUGUGUGAAACAAGGUGACAGGGCAGAA